AGCAGCCGCGGUAAUUCCAGCUCCAAUAGCGUAUAUUAAAGUUGUUGCAGUUAAAAGCUCGUAGUUGAAUUUCGGGGUCUGUCCGUCGGUCGGGCUUCACGGUCCGUACUGGUGUGAUGGGUUCCUACCUUCUGAAUAACCGGCAUGCCAUUCAGUUGGUGCGCCGGGGAAGCAGAGCUAUUACCUUGAAAAAUUGAGUGCUUAAAGCAGGCUAGUGCUUGAAUAGAUUAGCAUGGAAUAAUAAAAUAGGACGGCAUGGUUCUAUUUUGUUGGUUUCUAGGAUCACCGUAAUGAUUAAUAGGGAUAGUUGGGGGCAUUAGUAUUCAAUUGUCAGAGGUGAAAUUCUUGGAUUUAUUGAAGACUAACUUCUGCGAAAGCAUUUGCCAAGGAUGUUUUCAUUAAUCAAGAACGAAAGUUAGGGAUCGAAGACGAUCAGAUACCGUCGUAGUCUUAACCAUAAACUAUGCCGACUAGGGAUCGGACGAUGUUAAUUUUUUAAUGGUCUUCGUUCGGCGCCUUA
RNAcentral lists this unclassified non-coding RNA (520 nucleotides) under uncultured Acaulospora. Its description in RNAcentral is "SSU rRNA". It matches the Rfam family "Eukaryotic small subunit ribosomal RNA", at positions 569 to 1090 of the family's 1831-position model. The record is from RNAcentral. Lineage: Eukaryota; Fungi; Glomeromycota; Glomeromycetes; Diversisporales; Acaulosporaceae.